Molecule: ribosomal RNA, 709 nt
Filed under: Bradyrhizobium sp. enrichment culture clone e148
Lineage: Bacteria; Pseudomonadati; Pseudomonadota; Alphaproteobacteria; Hyphomicrobiales; Nitrobacteraceae
Description: bacterial SSU rRNA
Rfam family: Bacterial small subunit ribosomal RNA
Source: RNAcentral
UUGAGUUUGAUCCUGGCUCAGAGCGAACGCUGGCGGCAGGCUUAACACAUGCAAGUCGAGCGGGCGUAGCAAUACGUCAGCGGCAGACGGGUGAGUAACGCGUGGGAACGUACCUUUUGGUUCGGAACAACACAGGGAAACUUGUGCUAAUACCGGAUAAGCCCUUACGGGGAAAGAUUUAUCGCCGAAAGAUCGGCCCGCGUCUGAUUAGCUAGUUGGUGAGGUAACGGCUCACCAAGGCGACGAUCAGUAGCUGGUCUGAGAGGAUGAUCAGCCACAUUGGGACUGAGACACGGCCCAAACUCCUACGGGAAGCAGCAGUGGGGAAUAUUGGACAAUGGGCGCAAGCCUGAUCCAGCCAUGCCGCGUGAGUGAUGAAGGCCCUAGGGUUGUAAAGCUCUUUUGUGCGGGAAGAUAAUGACGGUACCGCAAGAAUAAGCCCCGGCUAACUUCGUGCCAGCAGCCGCGGUAAUACGAAGGGGGCUAGCGUUGCUCGGAAUCACUGGGCGUAAAGGGUGCGUAGGCGGGUCUUUAAGUCAGGGGUGAAAUCCUGGAGCUCAACUCCAGAACUGCCUUUGAUACUGAGGAUCUUGAGUUCGGGAGAGGUGAGUGGAACUGCGAGUGUAGAGGUGAAAUUCGUAGAUAUUCGCAAGAACACCAGUGGCGAAGGCGGCUCACUGGCCCGAUACUGACGCUGAGGCACGAAAGC